CAGCAGCACCCCCCUUCACCUUCUCCUCCCCUCUUCCUCCCAUCACUUUCUGUAGGUGUGUGUGUAUGUGUGUGUGUGUGUGUGUGUCUACAUGAGGGGCUGGGGUGAGAAGGAAGGAGUUAGGAGGUGGCGGUAGGAGUUACUCAGCAGAUUUUCACCCGUGUAAGAGAAAAAAAAAGAGGCCACUGCCUGUGAGAAGAAGCAGACACAAGAUUAAGGAAGACAGUCCAAUUCAAGAUGUGAGAUUAAUGCCUUGGGGAGAGUUUAACGUCACUUUUUGAGGUCUGCAGUGCCAUCAACAACCAAGUAGGAGGAUGAAAUCUCUGACAGGAGGAUUGACCAGGCCUAUCUCCAGAGCAGCAACUGCACGUUCAGAAUGAACAUCACCCCGCUAACUGGCCGCUGGAGGGGAACUUGAAAGAACAGGAGCACUGACGCACCUCUGAAGAUGGUUUAGCAUCGACCACUGACAGCUGACUUCAAAGACCCACACCGGGAAUUUGAUUUGACUGUACAUUUCUUCGCUGACACGGUAACUCUCACAGGUUUCUUCUUGAUGUUGAUAUAUAUGGGACUUGCAUUUUCAUGAGUGCAUGAUGUUAUUCCACAUGGCAGCUGUUGAUAUUAGCGCCUUUGAUUCCUGAGGAGUUCUGAAGAAAUGCUGCAGAGAAAGCCCCCCAAGGCACGAGUUG
This is a long non-coding RNA of Oreochromis aureus, 692 nucleotides long. Lineage: Eukaryota; Metazoa; Chordata; Actinopteri; Cichliformes; Cichlidae. The record is from Ensembl.